Molecule: small nucleolar RNA, 128 nt
Organism: Meriones unguiculatus (Mongolian gerbil)
Lineage: Eukaryota; Metazoa; Chordata; Mammalia; Rodentia; Muridae
Source: Ensembl
AAUGCCCUAUAGUCAUUGCAGGUAUGACUGCCAUUGCAUGUGUGUCAGUAGGUGGCAGAGAGGAGAGAGGCCAUGUUUACAUUCAGUGUUCUAACCUGUGAAUAUCUGAAUAUUAGUAGCUUAACACU